AGCUCCAAUAGCGUAUAUUAAAGUUGUUGUGGUUAAAAAGCUCGUAGUUGGAUUUCUGCUGAAGACAACCGGUCUGCCUCUGGGUGAGCAUCUGGUUUGGAUUCGGCAUCAUCUGAAAGAACGUAGCUGCACUUGAUUGUGUGGUGCGGUAUCCUAGACUUUUACUUUGAGGAACUCAGAGUGCUUCAAGCAGGCGAAUGCCUUGGAUACAUUCGCAUGGAAAAAGUUUUAGGACAUUGGUUCUAUUUUGUUGGCUUCUAGAACAGAGGUAACGUUUUAAUAGGGAGUAACGUUUAAUAGGGAUAAGUGGGGCAUGCGUGUUUAACUCUCAGAGGUGAAAUUCUUGGAUUUGUUAAAGACGGACCAAUGCGAAAGCAUGUGCCAAGGAUGCUUUCUUUGA
This 400-nucleotide ribosomal RNA is filed under the name phytoplankton environmental sample. RNAcentral's name for it is "partial small subunit ribosomal RNA". It matches the Rfam family "Eukaryotic small subunit ribosomal RNA", at positions 587 to 976 of the family's 1831-position model. The record is from RNAcentral.